GAUGAACGCUGGCGGCGUGCUUAACACAUGCAAGUCGAACGAUGAAGCCCAGCUUGCUGGGUGGAUUAGUUGCGAACGGGUGAGUAACACGUGAGUAACCUGCCCUUCACUCUGGGAUAAGCCUGGGAAACUGGGUCUAAUACCUGAUAGGAGCGUCCACCGCAUGGUGGGUGUUGGAAAGAUUUAUCGGUUUUGGAUGGACUCGCGGCUUAUCAGCUUGUUGGUGAGGUAAUGGCUCACCAAGGCGACGACGGGUAGCCGGCCUGAGAGGGUGACCGGCCACAAUGGGACUGAGACACGGCCCAGACUCCUACGGGAGGCAGCAGUGGGGAAUAUUGCACAAUGGGCGCAAGCCUGAUGCAGCGACGCCGCGUGAGGGAUGACGGCCUUCGGGUUGUAAACCUCUUUCAGUAGGGAAGAAGCGAAAGUGACGGUACCUGCAGAAGAAGCACCGGCUAACUACGUG
RNAcentral lists this ribosomal RNA (466 nucleotides) under uncultured bacterium. RNAcentral describes it as "partial 16S ribosomal RNA". It matches the Rfam family "Bacterial small subunit ribosomal RNA", at positions 28 to 507 of the family's 1533-position model. The record is from RNAcentral.